Molecule: ribosomal RNA, 292 nt
Filed under: uncultured bacterium
Lineage: Bacteria
Description: partial 16S ribosomal RNA
Rfam family: Bacterial small subunit ribosomal RNA
Source: RNAcentral
GUGCCAGCAGCCGCGGUAAGACGAGGGGUCCAAGCGUUGUUCGGAAUUAUUGGGCGUAAAGCGGGUGUAGGUGGCUCUAUAAGUCAGAAGUGAAAGCCCCGAGCUUAACUUGGGAAGUGCUUUUGAUACUGUAGAGCUUGAAUGUGGGAGAGGAUCGUGGAAUUCCAGGUGUAGUGGUGAAAUACGUAGAUAUCUGGAGGAACACCGGUGGCGAAGGCGGCGAUCUGGCCCAACAUUGACACUGAGACCCGAAAGCGUGGGGAUCAAACAGGAUUAGAAACCCGGGUAGUCC